AAUCAUGAAUGUGGUGUAGAAUAAGAAUAAAAUAUAAUAUGUGUAGGUAGAAAGAAGAAAGAAGAUAAAGCGGAAUAUUUAAAACUAUGUUAAUGAGUGUUAAAGUUAAUUAAGGAAGAGACAAGCGAACACGAAGACGAUGAUGAAGAAGGAAGAGGUUUGUCAGAAGUGAGAAUGUGACAGAAAUGGUGGGGUAGUCACGUGUUCUCAAAAGCCUGCAAGCCUCGUCUCAGUUCAACCAAACCACACUCUGAAACAAAACUACAUUGAAAGUAGGAAAUCUUGUCUGUGUUCAUUACUAUUACAGUGCUGUAAUCUUCUUUGUUUCUGCAUCCACUCUUCUACCUUUCUUCUCCAACAAAACCUACAUUCCUUCCUGUCUUCUUCACCUAUUUUUCAUCACUUUUUCUCUUCAUUACUUUUUAUAAUAUUUAAAUACUUUCUCUCUU
Molecule: long non-coding RNA, 449 nt
Filed under: Vigna radiata
Lineage: Eukaryota; Viridiplantae; Streptophyta; Magnoliopsida; Fabales; Fabaceae
Description: long non-coding RNA (VRAD_LNC009558)
Source: RNAcentral